RNAcentral lists this transfer RNA (96 nucleotides) under Streptomyces sp. PTY087I2. RNAcentral's name for it is "tRNA-Ser". Lineage: Bacteria; Bacillati; Actinomycetota; Actinomycetes; Kitasatosporales; Streptomycetaceae. The record is from RNAcentral.
CGGUACUCCUGGAACUCGGCUGCCGGUGGCCGGCUGCUGGUCGGCAGCGGUGCCCGCGAUCGUAACGCCUCGGUGUUCAGUCCGCGGUUACCGCCC